GACGAACGCUGGCGGCGUGCUUAACACAUGCAAGUCGAACGGAAAGGCCCUGCUUUUGUGGGGUGCUCGAGUGGCGAACGGGUGAGUAACACGUGAGUAACCUGCCCUUGACUUUGGGAUAACUUCAGGAAACUGGGGCUAAUACCGGAUAGGAGCUCCUGCUGCAUGGUGGGGGUUGGAAAGUUUCGGCGGUUGGGGAUGGACUCGCGGCUUAUCAGCUUGUUGGUGGGGUAGUGGCUUACCAAGGCUUUGACGGGUAGCCGGCCUGAGAGGGUGACCGGCCCCCUUGGGACUGGGGUACGGCCCAGGCUCCUUCGGGAGGCAGCAGUGGGGAAUAUUGCACAAUGGGCGGAAGCCUGAUGCAGCAACGCCGCGUGCGGGAUGACGGCCUUCGGGUUGUAAACCGCUUUCGCCUGUGACGAAGCGUGAGUGACGGUAAUGGGUAAAGAAGCACCGGCUAACUACGU
This 467-nucleotide ribosomal RNA is filed under the name uncultured bacterium. RNAcentral describes it as "partial 16S ribosomal RNA". It matches the Rfam family "Bacterial small subunit ribosomal RNA", at positions 28 to 506 of the family's 1533-position model. The record is from RNAcentral.